This 489-nucleotide ribosomal RNA is filed under the name uncultured bacterium. RNAcentral describes it as "partial 16S ribosomal RNA". It matches the Rfam family "Bacterial small subunit ribosomal RNA", at positions 28 to 507 of the family's 1533-position model. The record is from RNAcentral.
GACGAACGCUGGCGGCGUGCUUAACACAUGCAAGUCGAACGGAAAGGCCCCCAUCUUGGUGGGGGUGCUCGAGUGGCGAACGGGUGAGUAACACGUGGGUGAUCUGCCCUGUACUUCGGGAUAAGCUUGGGAAACUGGGUCUAAUACCGGAUAGGACCAUGGUUUAGUGUCUCAUGGUGGAAAGAUUAUUGUUUUGGUGCAGGAUGAGCUCGCGGCCUAUCAGCUUGUUGGUGGGGUAAUGGCCUACCAAGGCGUCGACGGGUAGCCGGCCUGAGAGGGUGGACGGACACAGUGGGACGGAGAUACGGCCCAGACACCGACGGGAGGCAGGAGUGGGGAAUAUUGCACAAUGGGCGCAAGCCUGAGGCAGCGACGCCGCGUGGGGGAUGACGGCCGUCGGGUUGUAAACUCCUUUCGUUAGGGACGAAGCCGCACUUUUUUUGGGUGUGGUGACGGUACCUUUGUGAAGAAGCACCGGCUAACUACGUG